CCUACGGGUGGCAGCAGUGGGGAAUAUUGGGCAAUGGGCGCAAGCCUGACCCAGCAAUGCCGCGUGAAGGAAGAAGGCUUUCGGGUUGUAAACUUCUUUUAAGAGGGAAGAGCAGAAGACGGUACCUCUUGAAUAAGCUACGGCUAACUACGUGCCAGCAGCCGCGGUAAUACGUAGGUGGCAAGCGUUGUCCGGCUUUACUGGGUGUAAAGGGCGUGCAGCCGGGAAGACAAGUCAGAUGUGAAAUCCCGCGGCUGAACCGCGGAACUGCAUUUGAGACUGUUUAUCUUGAGUACCGGAGAGGUCGUCAGAAUUCCAUGUGUAGCGGUGAAAUGCGUAGAUAUGAGGAGGAACACCAGUGGCGAAGGCGGAUGACUGGACAGCGACUGACGGUGAGGCGCGAAAGCGUGGGGAGCAAACAGGAUUAGAUACUCGGGUAGUC
This 442-nucleotide ribosomal RNA is filed under the name uncultured bacterium. RNAcentral's name for it is "partial 16S ribosomal RNA". It matches the Rfam family "Bacterial small subunit ribosomal RNA", at positions 338 to 795 of the family's 1533-position model. The record is from RNAcentral.